UACGGGGGGGGCAAGCGUUUGUUCGGAAUUACUGGGCGUAAAAGGGUUGUAGGCGGCCAACUAAGUCCGACGUGAAAUCCCAAGGCUUAACCUUGGAACUGCGUCGGAUACUGGAUGGCUUGAAUUCGGGAGAGGGAUACAGAAUUCCAGGUGUAGCGGUGAAAUGCGUAGAUAUUGGGAAGAACACCAGUGGCGAAGGCGGUUCUCUGGGACGGUACUGACGCUGAGACGGCGAAAGCGUGGGGAGCGAACAGG
RNAcentral lists this ribosomal RNA (255 nucleotides) under uncultured bacterium. RNAcentral's name for it is "partial 16S ribosomal RNA". It matches the Rfam family "Bacterial small subunit ribosomal RNA", at positions 524 to 776 of the family's 1533-position model. The record is from RNAcentral.